GGCGCGCGCCCGCGUCCGCGCACUGAGAGUCGCCUCGGCCGCUCGCUUUCUCGACUCCCGCCUCGCGCCUCGAUCCUGUUCCGCCUCCCUCGGCCCUCCUGCCCGCCCCCACUCGUCGGCCCUCAGGUUCCUGGAAAGUGAAAAUUUCAUUUCUUUGUGGACAGGUACCUAAAAUGUCUCAUUAUUCAUCAAUUAAUGAAAAACAAAUGAAAAUUUGAGAGAGAUAUUCUGAAGAAUAAAAGGAUCAAGUUGGGUCAUUUCUAAAAUCUCAGAGACCUAAUAGGAUGGGGUCUUAGAGAAACAUCUUUUGAGCCACAGACUUCUUUGUUACCAGAAGGAAAAUGAAAGAAGAAAUUUAAAUACCACUUGAAGAGAGGUGCUGCCCAGUUCAUGAGUGCUGCUGCUGUCCUGCCCAAGUACCCAGCUUGCAGAGUGCCAGAGUUAGAGUCCCAGGGGUGUUCUCCACAGCUGCAUGCUUGAUCCAGGCCUAUCAGAUAUAUUCCAUUGAAAGUCCUCAUUCUCAAAUUUAAAACAAAGACUUUUUGUGUACCUCAAUAGCAAUGCACACACAGUUGGCUUCACAAACAUAUUGUACAUUUCUUUUUUUCAUAUUUAUUCAACAAAUGUAUAUUGACUACCCACCGUGUGACAGGUGUUAUUUGUUGACGGAACCAGGCAUCAUCAGCAAACAAAACUGACAAAGCUUCCUGCCCUCUGUGGAAGGCAUCUGAGGAAGAGACUGGAUUUUGUAGCAACAUGUUAUUCUCAUUAUAAACUUUAUCAUUGGAAUACUAAAGCCAAAUCAUCCCCCAUCUCCUUGAUCAGGAUACCCACUUAAUCUAGGCAGCUACACAAUUGUGAGAGCCUUUGUUUUUUUCUGCUGAAACAUCCUUAAAAAGAUACCUCACAACCCAAGAUUUGGCUUUUCUUAAAUACGAUUUUUAAUUUUUUUCAUUUCUAUCUAGAGAUUUAAUUGGAAAUGGAAAAUCAUCAAUUUUCCAAUUAAAUGUCUGUUCCAAUCAACAUUAUACCUUUUAGGUUGUCAUUGUCAUUUUUAAGUUUAAGCAACUUUAAGGAUUUUGAAUCUGGCUGCCUGUAAAUUAAAGGUGAAAGUAAUCAUUGUGUUGGAUUGGAACAUUUUGUCAAUUGAGAGUGGUUUCCUUGUUCUUAGUGUAUGAAAAGUUUAUUUUUCUAAUGUAGAUUAAUAAAGGAGAUAAAGAAAAACAAAA
Molecule: long non-coding RNA, 1229 nt
Filed under: Homo sapiens (human)
Lineage: Eukaryota; Metazoa; Chordata; Mammalia; Primates; Hominidae
Description: HSALNT0385728
Source: RNAcentral